RNAcentral lists this ribosomal RNA (645 nucleotides) under Nodipecten subnodosus. RNAcentral's name for it is "partial 12S ribosomal RNA". It matches the Rfam family "Bacterial small subunit ribosomal RNA", at positions 521 to 1494 of the family's 1533-position model. Lineage: Eukaryota; Metazoa; Mollusca; Bivalvia; Pectinida; Pectinidae. The record is from RNAcentral.
UUAAACCUGAGUAGCUCAAGUCAAGUGGGACAGUGAAAAAGGUGGUUAGACAGCCUGUUUGUCUAUGUUAGGUAGAGAAGAUCGACCCGAGAGAUUAGGGGUGCAAUCUUAUGUAAUUUCUUGAGGGAGGGGAGGAUUCUUCUUUGGGUUGAGUCCACGGAGCCGGUUAGCCGAAGACAUGGAUUAGAUACCCAUUUAUUGCCGGUGUAAACUUUGCUUAUCAGUGCAGCUGCUUGGGUACUACGAGCGAGUGCUUAAAACUCAAAGAACUUGGCGGCUUGUUAACUACCUAGGGGAAUAUGCGCCUUAAUCCGAUGGUCCCCGCAACAUCUUACUGGAUCUUGAAAGAGUGCAGUCGGUGUAUUGCCGUUGUCAGCUUGUUGUUCGAGCAAAGAAAAACAGGCUUAAUGGGUCUCUAGGGAUUAGGUUCGUGAGAAUCCAUGAAUUCAGGUCGUAAUGCUGCCUACGGUCCAAGGGAGUGGGUAUUACAAUUUAUAUUUAAAACUACGGAUCUUUAUUGUGAAAUUUUAGGGAAGAAGGUGAACUUAGGAGUAAGGGAAGAUUAAUAUGCUACUCUGAACGUGAAUCUAACUUGUGUACAAACUGCCCGUCGCUCUCGGUGAGAACUGAGAUAAGUCGUAACAA